RNAcentral lists this ribosomal RNA (749 nucleotides) under Microbacterium aurantiacum. RNAcentral's name for it is "partial 16S ribosomal RNA". It matches the Rfam family "Bacterial small subunit ribosomal RNA", at positions 64 to 826 of the family's 1533-position model. Lineage: Bacteria; Bacillati; Actinomycetota; Actinomycetes; Micrococcales; Microbacteriaceae. The record is from RNAcentral.
GAACGGUGAAGCCAAGCUUGCUUGGUGGAUCAGUGGCGAACGGGUGAGUAACACGUGAGCAACCUGCCCUGGACUCUGGGAUAAGCGCUGGAAACGGUGUCUAAUACUGGAUAUGAGCUCUCAUCGCAUGGUGGGGGUUGGAAAGAUUUUUCGGUCUGGGAUGGGCUCGCGGCCUAUCAGCUUGUUGGUGAGGUAAUGGCUCACCAAGGCGUCGACGGGUAGCCGGCCUGAGAGGGUGACCGGCCACACUGGGACUGAGACACGGCCCAGACUCCUACGGGAGGCAGCAGUGGGGAAUAUUGCACAAUGGGCGGAAGCCUGAUGCAGCAACGCCGCGUGAGGGAUGACGGCCUUCGGGUUGUAAACCUCUUUUAGCAGGGAAGAAGCGAGAGUGACGGUACCUGCAGAAAAAGCGCCGGCUAACUACGUGCCAGCAGCCGCGGUAAUACGUAGGGCGCAAGCGUUAUCCGGAAUUAUUGGGCGUAAAGAGCUCGUAGGCGGUUUGUCGCGUCUGCUGUGAAAUCCCGAGGCUCAACCUCGGGCCUGCAGUGGGUACGGGCAGACUAGAGUGCGGUAGGGGAGAUUGGAAUUCCUGGUGUAGCGGUGGAAUGCGCAGAUAUCAGGAGGAACACCGAUGGCGAAGGCAGAUCUCUGGGCCGUAACUGACGCUGAGGAGCGAAAGGGUGGGGAGCAAACAGGCUUAGAUACCCUGGUAGUCCACCCCGUAAACGUUGGGAACUAGUUGUGGG